GAGUAUCCAAGCAGGUGCUGAACACAUGCUAACAAUGUGGAAAGACAUACGUUGAGAUAUGAGAAGGGGGUAGUGAACAUGCUAAGUCAGGGUAGUCAUACAAAUUGACAAGUACAUGCUAGUGACAAUAAGAACAACAGAACCAUAAAUAAAAGCACACAAGAAACAAGAUGAAGUGCAAAACUAAUAGAAACAUAUUGUUUUGGAGGCUGUAACUUAAAUAGUAAACAUACUAGUUGAAGCUAAUGUAACACAGAAUAGUUGUGAGCAAUGAUGCACAAAGAAAAGAAGUAGUGUGCAGAGAAGUGAGCAGCAUGCAAACCAAAGCAAACAAUACAGUAGAGCCCAAGUAAUAGAGUAAAACAGCCAAGAUUACUCAAUCUUGGCUUUCAGCCGAUAGAGUAGCUACUAUUCAAUAGAAAAAUGAGAAAAGCUGUAUAGAAAACAAUAGGGAGAGAGCACUGAGUGCUUUGAAAGAAAGUUUUGAGUGAUUAUAUUCGUGUCUGUGUGUGUCAAGUGAAAAGAGAAGAGUAGUACUUAUAGUUUUUGAAAAUAGCAGAGAAUAGGGUAGGGACUAUAUAAUUAUAGAAACAAUACCAAAUUGAAUCAAUCAUAGGUCCUAAUUCAAAUA
Molecule: long non-coding RNA, 631 nt
Filed under: Nicotiana benthamiana
Lineage: Eukaryota; Viridiplantae; Streptophyta; Magnoliopsida; Solanales; Solanaceae
Description: long non-coding RNA (NBEN_LNC031301)
Source: RNAcentral